GCACUUGUAGCUCAGUUGGUUAGAGCAUUGGUCUUAUGAGCCAAAGGUCUGCGGUUCAAAUCCGCACCUGUGCA
This 74-nucleotide transfer RNA is filed under the name Ochromonadaceae sp. CCMP2298. Its description in RNAcentral is "tRNA-Ile". It matches the Rfam family "tRNA". From Rfam's summary of the family: Transfer RNA (tRNA) molecules are approximately 80 nucleotides in length. Their secondary structure includes four short double-helical elements and three loops (D, anti-codon, and T loops). Further hydrogen bonds mediate the characteristic L-shaped molecular structure. tRNAs have two regions of fundamental functional importance: the anti-codon, which is responsible for specific mRNA codon recognition, and the 3' end, to which the tRNAs corresponding amino acid is attached (by aminoacyl-tRNA synthetases). tRNAs cope with the degeneracy of the genetic code in two manners: having more than one tRNA (with a specific anti-codon) for a particular amino acid; and 'wobble' base-pairing, i.e. permitting non-standard base-pairing at the 3rd anti-codon position. Lineage: Eukaryota; Synurophyceae; Ochromonadales; Ochromonadaceae. The record is from RNAcentral.